Molecule: ribosomal RNA, 486 nt
Filed under: uncultured bacterium
Lineage: Bacteria
Description: partial 16S ribosomal RNA
Rfam family: Bacterial small subunit ribosomal RNA
Source: RNAcentral
GAUGAACGCUGGCGGCGUGCUUAACACAUGCAAGUCGAACGAUGAAGCCCAGCUUGCUGGGUGGAUUAGUGGCGAACGGGUGAGUAACACGUGAGUAACCUGCCCUUCACUCUGGGAUAAGCCUGGGCAACUGGGUCUAAUACCGGAUAGGAGCGUCCACCGCAUGGUGGGUGUUGGAAAGAUUUAUCGGUUUUGGAUGGACUCGCGGCCUAUCCGCUUGUUGGUGAGGUAAUGGCUAACCAAGGCAAUGACGAGUAGCCGGACUGAGAGGGUGAUCGGCCACCAUGGAACUGAGAGAGGGUUGAGAGUAAGAAGGGAGGCAGUAGUAGGGAAUCUUCCGACAUGGGCGGAAGGGUGACGGAGCAACGCCGCGUGAGGUAUGAAGGUCGUAGGAUCGUAAAACUUUGUGAUGAGGGAAGAACAAAUGUGUAAGUAACGAUCAACGUAUUGACGGCAGCUAAUAAGAAAGCCACGGAUAAGUACGUG